UACAGAGGGUGCAAGCGUUGUUCGGAUUUACUGGGCGUAAAGCGUGUGUAGGCGGCUUGGCAAGUUGGAUGUGAAAGCCCACGGCUCAACCGUGGAAGCGCAUCCAAAACUGCUUCGCUCGAGUCUCGGAGAGGAAGGUGGAAUGCUUGGUGUAGAGGUGAAAUUCGUAGAUAUCAAGCAGAACACCUGCGGCGAAGGCGGCCUUCUGGACGAUGACUGACGCUGAGACACGAAAGCGUGGGGAGCAAACAGG
Molecule: ribosomal RNA, 253 nt
Filed under: uncultured bacterium
Lineage: Bacteria
Description: partial 16S ribosomal RNA
Rfam family: Bacterial small subunit ribosomal RNA
Source: RNAcentral